UACGAAGGGGACUAGCGUUGUUCGGAUUCAUUGGGCGUAAAGGGUGCGUAGGCGGCGAGGUAAGUCGGAUGUGAAAUCCCGGGGCUCAACCCCGGAACUGCAUUCGAUACUGCUUUGCUUGAGUACUGGAGAGGAGACUGGAAUUUACGGUGUAGCAGUGAAAUGCGUAGAUAUCGUAAGGAAGACCAGUGGCGAAGGCGAGUCUCUGGACAGUUACUGACGCUGAGGCACGAAGGCCAGGGGAGCAAACGGG
RNAcentral lists this ribosomal RNA (253 nucleotides) under uncultured bacterium. Its description in RNAcentral is "partial 16S ribosomal RNA". It matches the Rfam family "Bacterial small subunit ribosomal RNA", at positions 524 to 776 of the family's 1533-position model. The record is from RNAcentral.